CUGAAUUGUGAGACCGGCUGUUGCAACUGUUGUGGUUGUCAAAAGAACAGCCUUUGCCCAUAAAUAGUCACUCAGUACAUUAUCCAACAAACCUGUAAAGACGAAAAAAAGGUAAGUGAAUAAGAGACAAAAUAGUCGAAUACUAAUUGCCAAGAAAGAAAAGACUAUCCACAUCAUAUCCAAAUGUCUAUAGCAAAAAAGAUGGAUAAUGGAAAAAGGAAUGUAAUAUCAUAGCAGUAGGCCCACAGGAAAAGAAAUGAUCACAAAGGUAACUAGAUACACUAUAGCCCUUUAACAUGGAAAUUGAUCUAACGCUUCUUCAUCCACCAAAAUGGAUAGACAUUCAAUUUUUAUCCUUCCAUAAAAUUAACUAUAAACAAUAUGAGAAUUGACCCAUUAAUUUCUGCAUGCCAGACAAGAAUGGAAAUAAUAAAAUCCAGCGGAUCUCAAAAUUUGCUCAGAUACAUCUACAACAAAUUCUGCCCGAGUCAUGUUUUACUGGAGUGCAUAAUUGAGCCCAAAAGCAUAAACUCCUGAUAGCAGAAUAGAAAAUCAACGAGUCAUGAAAAAAAGGGAUUUGGAGAAAAAACCAACUUCCAUGUUUUCCUUUUACUAUUCAACUCUAAUAAGCUAGUAAAAGAUAAGUUUAAACAACCCAUAACAUGUCCUCAAUGCAAUUUCUGCUGUACAAGGAACAUCAACAAAAGUGCCGAGGUGGAGAGGCCUCUUCCCGAAAUAAAAUGAGUUUCAUCAUCCAAUGUUGAAGCACAAAAUAGCAUGAAGUUAAAACAGC
RNAcentral lists this long non-coding RNA (793 nucleotides) under Ricinus communis (castor bean). Its description in RNAcentral is "long non-coding RNA (RCOM_LNC001335)". Lineage: Eukaryota; Viridiplantae; Streptophyta; Magnoliopsida; Malpighiales; Euphorbiaceae. The record is from RNAcentral.